CGCGUAGGCGGGAUGGCAAGUCGGUCGUGAAAUCCUUCGGCUCAACCGAAGAACGUCGGCCGAUACUGCCGUUCUUGAGGGAUGCAGAGGAGAUUGGAAUCCCGGUGUAGCGGUGAAAUGUGUAGAGAUCGGGAGGAACACCGGUGGCGAAGGCGGGUCUCUGGGCAUCUCCUGACGCUGAGGCGCGAAAGCGUGGGGAGCAAACGG
Molecule: ribosomal RNA, 207 nt
Filed under: uncultured bacterium
Lineage: Bacteria
Description: partial 16S ribosomal RNA
Rfam family: Bacterial small subunit ribosomal RNA
Source: RNAcentral